GCCCGUCUAGCUUAGUUGGUAGAGUGCAAGGCUCUUAACUUUGUAAUUGUAGGUUUGAGCCCCAUGGUGAGCU
This 73-nucleotide transfer RNA is filed under the name Ipomoea nil (Japanese morning glory). It matches the Rfam family "tRNA". From Rfam's summary of the family: Transfer RNA (tRNA) molecules are approximately 80 nucleotides in length. Their secondary structure includes four short double-helical elements and three loops (D, anti-codon, and T loops). The record is from Rfam by way of RNAcentral. Lineage: Eukaryota; Viridiplantae; Streptophyta; Magnoliopsida; Solanales; Convolvulaceae.